RNAcentral lists this ribosomal RNA (505 nucleotides) under uncultured beta proteobacterium. RNAcentral's name for it is "bacterial SSU rRNA". It matches the Rfam family "Bacterial small subunit ribosomal RNA", at positions 235 to 732 of the family's 1533-position model. Lineage: Bacteria; Pseudomonadati; Pseudomonadota; Betaproteobacteria. The record is from RNAcentral.
GGCCUAUCAGCUUGUUGGUGGGGUAACGGCCCACCAAGGCGACGACGGGUAGCCGGCCUGAGAGGACGGCCCCCCACAUUGGGACUGAGAUACGGCCCAGACUCCUACGGGAGGCAGCAGUGGGGAAUUUUGGACAAUGGGGGCAACCCUGAUCCAGCCAUGCCGCGUGUGUGAAGAAGGCCUUCGGGUUGUAAAGCACUUUCGGACGGAACGAAAUCGCGCGGGCGAAUACCCCGCGUGGAUGACGGUACCGUAAGAAGAAGCACCGGCUAACUACGUGCCAGCAGCCGCGGUAAUACGUAGGGUGCGAGCGUUAAUCGGAAUUACUGGGCGUAAAGUGUGCGCAGGCGGCGUCGCAAGUCGAGUGUGAAAGCCCCGGGCUUAACUUGGGAAUUGCGCUCGAAACUACGGUGCUGGAGUGUGGCAGAGGAAGGUGGAAUUCCACGUGUAGCGGUGAAAUGCGUAGAGAUGUGGAGGAACACCGAUGGCGAAGCUAGCCUUCUGG